GAUGAACGCUAGCUACAGGCUUAACACAUGCAAGUCGCGGGGCAGCAUGGGGGUUGCUUGCAAUCCCCGAUGGCGACCGGCGCACGGGUGAGUAACGCGUAUCCAACCUGCCCUUCACCACGGGAUAACCCGGCGAAAGUCGGACUAAUACCGUAUGUUGCCCAUUGACGGCCUCCGAUUUGGACGAAAGGCUUGUGGGGGAGGGAGGGGGAUGCGUCCGAUUAGCCAGACGGCGGGGUAACGGCCCACCGUGGCUACGAUCGGUAGGGGUUCUGAGAGGAAGGUCCCCCACACUGGAACUGAGACACGGUCCAGACUCCUACGGGAGGCAGCAGUGAGGAAUAUUGGUCAAUGGGCGUAAGCCUGAACCAGCCAAGUAGCGUGCAGGAUGACGGCCCUAUGGGUUGUAAACUGCUUUUAUGCGGGGAUAAAGUGGCCCACGUGUGGGCUUUUGCAGGUACCGCAUGAAUAAGGACCGGCUAAUUCCGUG
This 490-nucleotide ribosomal RNA is filed under the name uncultured bacterium. RNAcentral describes it as "partial 16S ribosomal RNA". It matches the Rfam family "Bacterial small subunit ribosomal RNA", at positions 28 to 507 of the family's 1533-position model. The record is from RNAcentral.